Molecule: long non-coding RNA, 492 nt
Filed under: Homo sapiens (human)
Lineage: Eukaryota; Metazoa; Chordata; Mammalia; Primates; Hominidae
Description: non-protein coding NUTM2B-AS1:39
Source: RNAcentral
AUGUCUUUACACUCGGGGCCAGCACGUGGACCUUGCACUGCUGCUGGUAGGAGCGCCUCUGUUCCUGUUCCAGUGCAGGUUGCCCAUGAACUCAAGGGUCCAGACGCGAUUGUUUUUGGUGCAGAGGUAGAGCAGGUGCACUUAGUGGCGAAUGAGCUUGAUGCAGGACGGGUCCAGCUGCUUCUUGCCCAGGGAGUCGCUGCAGCUGUGCUGCUUGUGCAGGUUGUCAUGGGUGAAGAGCUUGGGGAAUAGGGGCACCAGCAGGCGCGAGGUGAAGUUGCCGAUGGACAGGCUGCUCUCGUAGAUACUGUGAAGAUGCUCGUUGCUGAGCAGGCCGUCGGCGCCGGGCACCUCCAAGUUGGGCUGGGGAUCUCCAAUUUGACCAAGUCGAUAGGUACCAGUCAGAUCUUCUUGGAGCGGCACCGCUCGCCCUUGAAGCUAUCCUCCACCCUGAUUACUGAGAUGUCAUCGGGCAGGCUGGAGGAGUUGUAG